Molecule: ribosomal RNA, 253 nt
Filed under: uncultured bacterium
Lineage: Bacteria
Description: partial 16S ribosomal RNA
Rfam family: Bacterial small subunit ribosomal RNA
Source: RNAcentral
UACGAAGGGGGCUAGCGUUGCUCGGAAUCACUGGGCGUAAAGCGCACGUAGGCGGAUCUUUAAGUCAGAGGUGAAAUCCCAAGGCUCAACCUUGGAACUGCCUUUGAUACUGGGGAUCUCGAGUCCGGAAGAGGUGAGUGGAACUGCGAGUGUAGAGGUGAAAUUCGUAGAUAUUCGCAAGAACACCAGUGGCGAAGGCGGCUCACUGGCCCGAUACUGACGCUGAGGUGCGAAAGUGUGGGGAGCAAACAGG